GGCAACUAUGCAAUGACCAUCUUGGAAGUUAAGGAAAAGGGAGAAAGAGAAAUCUUUCUGUCUAAAGUGUAAUUAGCAAUGGCUUCCUCUGUUCUUUCCUCUGCAGCAGUUGCCACUCGCACCAAUGUUGCUCAAGCUAACAUGGUUGCACCUUUCACUGGUCUUAAGUCAGCUGCCUCAUUCCCUGUUUCAAGGAAGCAAAACCUUGACAUCACUUCCAUUGCUAGCAAUGGUGGAAGAGUGCAAUGCAUGCAGGUAACUUAUAUACAUUCGACAAUUUUCUUUUUACAAUUAUUGUCAUAAUUAAAAGUUGUUUUUGGUGGAGUAUAGGUAUGGCCCCCAUAUGGCAAGAAGAAGUACGAAACUCUCUCAUACCUUCCCGAUUUAAGCGAGGAGCAAUUGCUUAGUGAAAUUGAGUACCUUUUGAAAAAUGGAUGGGUUCCUUGUUUGGAAUUCGAGACUGAGGUCAAUAAUUUUGCAUACUCCCUCUGUUUUAUGUGACUUUUUCUUUUUUAUAUUUGUUGUCCGAGAAAACAGACAUAUUUAGAAAAAAUUUAACUUUAAAAUUGCUUAAUAUGUGUAGCGCGGAUUUGUCUACCGUGAAAACAACAAGUCACCAGGAUACUAUGACGGCAGGUGAGUCACAAUUAUUUAGUUAAAUCAUGAAUAUAAAUGUUAAAUUUUAAAUCUUGAAUGCGCAGAUACUGGACCAUGUGGAAGCUGCCCAUGUUUGGGUGCACUGAUGCCACCCAAGUGUUAGCUGAGGUGGGAGAGGCGAAGAAGGCAUACCCAGAGGCCUGGAUCCGUAUCAUUGGAUUCGACAACGUGCGUCAAGUGCAGUGCAUCAGUUUCAUUGCCUACAAGCCUGAAGGCUACUAAGUUACAUAUUAGGACAACUUACCCUAUUGUCUUGUCUUUAGGGGUUGUGUUGUUUUAAUUUUUUUUUACUUCUUCCCACAAAAACUGUUUAUGUUUCCUUCUUUCUAUUCGGUGUAUGUUUUUCGAUUCCUACCAAGUUAUGAGACCUAAUAAUUAUGAUUUGGU
This 1044-nucleotide long non-coding RNA is filed under the name Nicotiana tabacum (common tobacco). RNAcentral describes it as "long non-coding RNA (NTAB_LNC000081)". Lineage: Eukaryota; Viridiplantae; Streptophyta; Magnoliopsida; Solanales; Solanaceae. The record is from RNAcentral.